This 740-nucleotide ribosomal RNA is filed under the name uncultured bacterium. RNAcentral's name for it is "bacterial SSU rRNA". It matches the Rfam family "Bacterial small subunit ribosomal RNA", at positions 8 to 796 of the family's 1533-position model. The record is from RNAcentral.
AGAGUUUGAUCAUGGCUCAGAGCGAACGCUGGCGGCAGGCCUAACACAUGCAAGUCGAGCGCCCCGCAAGGGGAGCGGCAGACGGGAGAGUAACACGUGGGAACGUACCCUUCAGUUCGGAACAACCCAGGGAAACUUGGGCUAAUACCGAAUACGUCCGUAAGGAGAAAGAUUUAUCGCUGAAGGAUCGGCCCGCGUCUGAUUAGCUAGUUGGUGAGGUAACGGCUCACCAAGGCGACGAUCAGUAGCUGGUCUGAGAGGAUGAUCAGCCUCACUGGGACUGAGACACGGCCCAGACUCCUACGGGAGGCAGCAGUGGGGAAUAUUGGACAAUGGGCGCAAGCCUGAUCCAGCCAUGCCGCGUGGAUGAUGAAGGCCCUAGGGUUGUAAAGUCCUUUCGGCGGGGAAGAUAAUGACGGUACCCGCAGAAGAAGCCCCGGCUAACUUCGUGCCAGCAGCCGCGGUAAUACGAAGGGGGCUAGCGUUGCUCGGAAUCACUGGGCGUAAAGCGCACGUAGGCGGCUUUUUAAGUCAGGGGUGAAAUCCUGGAGCUCAACUCCAGAACUGCCCUUGAUACUGAGAAGCUUGAGUCCGGGAGAGGUGAGUGGAACUGCGAGUGUAGAGGUGAAAUUCGUAGAUAUUCGCAAGAACACCAGUGGCGAAGGCGGCUCACUGGCCCGGUACUGACGCUGAGGUGCGAAAGCGUGGGGAGCAAACAGGAUUAGAUACCCCCGUAGUCC